GGACCCUGCUAUCGAUAGACUAAACAUGCUAGUCAAGCGCCUUUUCCCAAANGGNNCNCCAUGNNUAGAANGNGGNUGGCNGGCGCACAGCUCAGUAACACGUGGCUAACCUGCCCUUAGGACGAGUGCAACCCCGGGAAACUGGGGCUAAUCCUCGAUAGGUGAAGAACACUGGAAUGUGUCCUCGCCCAAAAGGCACCAGAUCAUGCUUCUGGUGUUGCCUAAGGAUGGGGCCGCGACCGAUCAGGUUGUUGGUGAAGGGUAAUGGCCCACCAAGCCUAUAACCGGUGCGGGCCGUGAGAGCGGGAGCCCGGAGAUGGGCACUGAGACAAGGGCCCAGGUCCUACGGGGCGCAGCAGUCGCGAAAACUUUGCAAUACACGAAAGUGUGACAGGGUCAUCCCGAGUGCCGACCGCUGAGGUUGGCUUUUACCCAGUCUAGAAAGCUGGGGGAAUAAGGAGAGGGCAAGUCUGGUGUCAGCCGCCCGCGGUAAUAACCAGCUCUCCNGAGUGGUGUGGACGUUUAUUGGGCCUAAAGCAUCCGUAGCUGGCCAAACAAGUCCCCUGUUAAANCCACCGAUUUAAUCGUUGGCUUGCGGGGGAUACUGUUCGGCUAAG
This 617-nucleotide ribosomal RNA is filed under the name uncultured archaeon. Its description in RNAcentral is "partial 16S ribosomal RNA". It matches the Rfam family "Archaeal small subunit ribosomal RNA", at positions 19 to 596 of the family's 1478-position model. The record is from RNAcentral.